Molecule: ribosomal RNA, 510 nt
Filed under: uncultured bacterium
Lineage: Bacteria
Description: partial 16S ribosomal RNA
Rfam family: Bacterial small subunit ribosomal RNA
Source: RNAcentral
GACGAACGCUGGCGGCGUGCUUAACACAUGCAAGUCGAACGAAGAGCGAUGGAAGCUUGCUUCUAUCAAUCUUAGUGGCGAACGGGUGAGUAACGCGUAAUAAACUGCCCCUUCGAGGGGGAACACCAGUGGAAAAGGACGCUUAUAACGCAUAACGUCCUAAUCCCGGAACGGAGGAAAGAGGAAGGGUGGCCCCUACAGGUAGCCAAUAACGGAGGAGGGGGUUUGCGUCUGAUUGGCUAGUUGGGGGGGUAACGGCCCACCAAGGCGAUGAUCAGUAGCCGGUCUGAGAGGAUGAACGGCCACAUUGGGACUGAGACACGGCCCAGACUCCUACGGGAGGCAGCAGUGGGGAAUCUUCCGCAAUGGACGAAAGUCUGACGGAGCAACGCCGCGUGAGUGAUGACGGCCUUCGGGUUGUAAAGCUCUGUUAAUCGGGACGAAAGGCCUUCUUGCGAAUAGUGAGAAGGAUUGACGGUACCGGAAUAGAAAGCCACGGCUAACUACGUG